This is a long non-coding RNA of Saccostrea cuccullata (small rock oyster), 929 nucleotides long. RefSeq lists it as uncharacterized. The record is from RefSeq and is a predicted model, not a curated record. Lineage: Eukaryota; Metazoa; Mollusca; Bivalvia; Ostreida; Ostreidae. The transcript has 4 exons.
UACAAAAACAUAAAAAUAUUUAUCUUUCCCAAAAUAUUAGGAGUUCCUUACAAUACAAUUAUAUUAGAGUCAGAUAAAGUUAUGGGAGAGUUAUUUUACCUCCCACGAACUUUCUCCCACAGAACAAUUCAAUAUAAGUAUUAAAAAGUAAUAAUAAAAUAUGAUACAAAAUUCAUCAGCUCCCCAAAAUUAAUUAAUUAAUUGUAUCACAGUAAUUUCCCAUCGAUAUCGCUCCCAGCCAUGCUGGCGAUGCGAUGAUCUAACCUACUCUAACCUAUUCUAAACCCAUUCUGACUGUCGGUCGAUUUGCGCUGGCUUAUAUUGGCAUCGGGCUCGAUUGUCGUGACGUCACGACAAAGUGAAAAUACCCGCCAUGCUUGUUAGUUGAUAUGCUGCCAUGCCGAUCGAACCGACGAAAGGAAACACGCACCCUAGGGCGCGGAUAAUUACCGAGGGAAACAUUCAUUAUACUUAUCGCUGAUGGACUUUGUAAGCAUAAACAAAACAAUCAUGAACAUUUUAAGUGUUACUUGGGAGUGCAUUAUAUCGAGGAAUUUCGGGCGUCACUAAUUACCGACCUCGUCCCAAUUGUACACUUGAAAAUGUUACUUAUACAGUAACGGGAAUAAUUACGGAACCGUAACACGGCACCCUCCCAUGAAGAACAUUCGUCCUCGAAUGGUUUUAUACUUCAGUUAGGGAAUAUUUAAAGAAUAUUUUCACGAUCUAUCCACAGGAGGCUCUAUCUGUCAGCUUUGGCUUGUCCUUUUUUUAUGGUUCCUGGUCCUUGAUUCGUCUACGGAUGGCUUUAUCGGGUCUACUCUGCCGAGUACUAAAUCUACUGGGAGUAUGACUGAUCGCCCAAAUACCAUUUCACAAGGGCUUACCCCUGUGGCCUCAUGAGAAGAUGAUCGAUAUGCCAACAUGAG